AACUCCAAUGGCUCUGUGUCAGCACAUCCACAUCGGGCCACAACAAUGGCUGCCGCCAAUGUCCCAGUCCCUGGAGAGCUCUCACCUCUCACCAAGAUGCACUCAGGGCCUAUUAGGAAUGUGAGGAAGACCUUCUCGAGGAGGAUGAGAGAGAUGUGAAGCAGACUCAGACCUGACCCUCAGUUUACAGCUGCCCAGAAAUCUCAGUAAAGACCAUGGCCUGCGCUCUCCCCCUUGCUGUUGUCUUCUGCCUGGUGACCACUCUAGUGAUUUCCCCUGUGGCUCUGUGUGGCAUGUGGUGACACCAGCUCUGGGACUUGUUGUGAGUCCCUUGAGGAUAGGGAUUAUUGUGUCUUUUUCAUCUCUAAUUCCCAGCAUUUAUGCAAUCCCUGGCAUAGAAAUGUGAAGAAAUGCUCUAAGCAAAAACAAGAAUUGAGGAAUUAUGAGUGCUAUGGGUACUACCAAGACUAGUGGUCCUCAGAAAGAGAUACUGGAAAAGAGGAGAUCGAUAUGAGAGAUGUAUUGGAGGUAAAAUUGACAAGACUGGACAAGUAACUAAAUGAGGUUUGGGUGGCAAGUCAGUCAAAGAUAAUUUUCAAAUUUUGAGGUUGGAUGACAAGGAUAGAUGGUGGUUCCAUUCAUUUUGACACAAAACACAGCUGCCCGUCUCAAUCUUAUUGAAUCUGAAAUGUAGGUCUUGAGUAACAUUCUCUAGCACAGUUACAAUUGGGCACAUCUAUGUGUAAAAUUCCCAUAAUUCUCUAUUACUGAACAGAAAAAUUGUAUUUUACUUUUUGAUGGCAAAUCUGUGGCCAGCAGUCAAAUAUACAUACACAGCAUUAAUGAAAAUAUAAACAGCAUGAAUGAACAGCGGAGAACCUUAUGAACAAGAUUUUUAGUACGUUUUUGCUUGAAAGCAGUAAUAAAUCAGUUCUGUAGAAAACCUCUGUCCUGAUACAACACCUGCCCUCAAGGUAAUGAGAAUGCUUUCCUCAUUUAUUACUUGUCUAAGCUUUAACCUUUGUAACUUCCUCUGAGUCAACUUACA
Molecule: long non-coding RNA, 1048 nt
Organism: Diceros bicornis minor
Lineage: Eukaryota; Metazoa; Chordata; Mammalia; Perissodactyla; Rhinocerotidae
Exons: 6
Source: RefSeq, a predicted model, not a curated record